GGUUAGUUAGUUAAAGUUUAUGAUGUGGAUUUUGUAAGUCUAAGUUGAUUAGUAAUCAUUAACCU
RNAcentral lists this transfer RNA (65 nucleotides) under Echinococcus multilocularis. RNAcentral's name for it is "tRNA-Thr". Lineage: Eukaryota; Metazoa; Platyhelminthes; Cestoda; Cyclophyllidea; Taeniidae. The record is from RNAcentral.